CACCUCCUUAGAGUUUGAUCCUGGCUCAGGACGAACGCUGGCGGCGUGCUUAACACAUGCAAGUCGAACGAUGAACCGCUUUCGGGCGGGGAUUAGUGGCGAACGGGUGAGUAACACGUGGGCAAUCUGCCCUGCACUCUGGGACAAGCCCUGGAAACGGGGUCUAAUACCGGAUAUGACCGUCUGCCGCAUGGUGGAUGGUGUAAAGCUCCGGCGGUGCAGGAUGAGCCCGCGGCCUAUCAGCUUGUUGGUGAGGUAGUGGCUCACCAAGGCGACGACGGGUAGCCGGCCUGAGAGGGCGACCGGCCACACUGGGACUGAGACACGGCCCAGACUCCUACGGGAGGCAGCAGUGGGGAAUAUUGCACAAUGGGCGAAAGCCUGAUGCAGCGACGCCGCGUGAGGGAUGACGGCCUUCGGGUUGUAAACCUCUU
Molecule: ribosomal RNA, 434 nt
Filed under: Streptomyces albidoflavus
Lineage: Bacteria; Bacillati; Actinomycetota; Actinomycetes; Kitasatosporales; Streptomycetaceae
Description: bacterial SSU rRNA
Rfam family: Bacterial small subunit ribosomal RNA
Source: RNAcentral